Molecule: ribosomal RNA, 373 nt
Filed under: uncultured organism
Description: partial 16S ribosomal RNA
Rfam family: Bacterial small subunit ribosomal RNA
Source: RNAcentral
GUAGGUGGCAAGCGUUGUCCGGAAUUAUUGGGCGUAAAGCGCGCGCAGGCGGUUCUUUAAGUCUGAUGUGAAAGGCCCACGGCUCAACCGUGGAGGGUCAUUGGAAACUGGAGAACUUGAGUACAGAAGAGGAAAGCGGAAUUCCACGUGUAGCGGUGAAAUGCGUAGAGAUGUGGAGGAACACCAGUGGCGAAGGCGGCUUUCUGGUCUGUAACUGACGCUGAGGCGCGAAAGCGUGGGGAGCAAACAGGGAUUAGAUACCCUGGUAGUCCACGCCGUAAACGAUGAGUGCUAAGUGUUAGGGGGUUUCCGCCCCCUUAGUGCUGCAGCUAACGCAUUAAGCACUCCGCCUUGGGAUACGGCCGCAAGGCUG